RNAcentral lists this ribosomal RNA (470 nucleotides) under uncultured bacterium. RNAcentral describes it as "bacterial SSU rRNA". It matches the Rfam family "Bacterial small subunit ribosomal RNA", at positions 28 to 494 of the family's 1533-position model. The record is from RNAcentral.
GAUGAACGCUAGCGGCAGGCUUAAUACAUGCAAGUCGAGGGGCAGCAUAAGUAGCAAUACUUGAUGGCGACCGGCAAACGGGUGCGGAACACGUACGCAACCUUCCUUUAAGUGGGGAAUAGCCCGGGGAAACCCGGAUUAAUACCCCGUAAUAUUAUGAUGUGGCAUCACAUUAUAAUUAUAGAUUCAUCGCUUAAAGAUGGGCGUGCGCCUGAUUAGGUAGUUGGCGGAGUAAUAGCCCACCAAGCCUGCGAUCAGUAACUGGUGUGAGAGCACGACCAGUCACACGGGCACUGAGACACGGGCCCGACUCCUACGGGAGGCAGCAGUAAGGAAUAUUGGUCAAUGGACGCAAGUCUGAACCAGCCAUGCCGCGUGGAGGAUGAAGGUCCUCUGGAUUGUAAACUUCUUUAUUUGGGAAGAAAUGUGAUGAUUCUUUAUCACUUGACGGUACCAGAUGAAUAAGCACC